GACGUAGGGCGCGAGCGUUGUCCGGAUUUAUUGGGCGUAAAGAGCUCGUAGGCGGCUUGUCGCGUCGUCCGUGAAAACCCAUGGCUCAACUGUGGGCUUGCGGUCGAUACGGGCAGACUAGAGUGCUGUAGGGGAGACUGGAAUUCCUGGUGUAGCGGUGAAAUGCGCAGAUAUCAGGAGGAACACCGGUGGCGAAGGCGGGUCUCUGGGCAGUAACUGACGCUGAGGAGCGAAAGCGUGGGGAGCAAACAGG
Molecule: ribosomal RNA, 253 nt
Filed under: uncultured bacterium
Lineage: Bacteria
Description: partial 16S ribosomal RNA
Rfam family: Bacterial small subunit ribosomal RNA
Source: RNAcentral